AAUCAACGCUGGCGGCGUGCCUCAGACAUGCAAGUCGAACGAUUAAGACUCUCUUCGGAGAGUGUAUAAAGUGGCGCACGGGUGAGUAACACGUAGGUAAUGUACCGAAGGGUGGGGAAUAACUUAGGGAAACUUAAGCUAAUACCGCAUAAUGCAGCGGCCCGACAUCGAGACAGUUGUUAAAGGAGCAAUCCGCCUUUUGAGCAGCCUGCGGCAGAUUAGCUAGUUGGUUAGGUAAUGGCUUACCAAGGCUACGAUCUGUAACCGACCUGAGAGGGUGGUCGGUCACACUGACACUGAAUAACGGGUCAGACUCCUACGGGAGGCAGCAGUCGGGAAUUUUGGGCAAUGGGCGAAAGCCUGACCCAGCAACGCCGCGUGAAGGAUGAAGUAUUUCGGUAUGUAAACUUCGUAAGAAUAGGAAGAAUAAAUGACGGUACUAUUUGUAAGGUCCGGCUAACUACGUGCCAGCAGCCGCGGUAAUACGUAGGGACCAAGCGUUGUUCGGAUUUACUGGGCGUAAAGGGCGCGUAGGCGGUGUGUCAAGUCAGUUGUGAAAUCUCCGAGCUUAACUCGGAACGGUCAACUGAUACUGUCACACUAGAGUACAGAAGGGGCAAUCGGAAUUCUUGGUGUAGCGGUGAAAUGCGUAGAUAUCAAGAGGAACACCUGAGGUGAAGACGGGUUGCUGGGCUGAUACUGACGCUGAGGCGCGAAAGCUAGGGUAGCAAGCGGGAUUAGAUACCCCGGUAG
RNAcentral lists this ribosomal RNA (753 nucleotides) under uncultured bacterium. Its description in RNAcentral is "bacterial SSU rRNA". It matches the Rfam family "Bacterial small subunit ribosomal RNA", at positions 28 to 793 of the family's 1533-position model. The record is from RNAcentral.